GGGGGCGACAGGUUUCGACGGCGUGCUGGAGGGUCUGGGGGAGCAGGUCGAGUUACGUCCGUAAUCCUCGUUAAACAUUCGGGCAAGACGAUAAACGUCGAAGAUAAUUUUGCUUUAGCGGCUUAAGCCGCUGCGUCGAGGGACAGGGCUCGUCUGCCGGCCCGCCUGAGGCGUCAUUUCUGGCGGAUGCUCUGCCCGUUUUGGUUCUGUGCGAGUGGAAAAGACAAAGGACCUUGGAAUGCGGAAGGCCGUUUCCUGCCUCCCCGCGGACGACAAUCAAACGGAAACUAAACCUGUAGCGCCGCCACGGCUGGCCCACGUCGGACGGGGGUUCGAUUCCCCCCGCCUCCAUUC
This 354-nucleotide transfer-messenger RNA is filed under the name Synergistaceae bacterium. It matches the Rfam family "transfer-messenger RNA". Rfam says of the family: Bacterial tmRNA, also known as 10Sa RNA or SsrA, is named for its dual tRNA and mRNA-like properties. Its role is to liberate the mRNA from a stalled ribosome. The record is from RNAcentral. Lineage: Bacteria; Thermotogati; Synergistota; Synergistia; Synergistales; Synergistaceae.